Long non-coding RNA from Leopardus geoffroyi (Geoffroy's cat), 1174 nucleotides. RefSeq lists it as uncharacterized. NCBI's taxonomy places the organism in Eukaryota, Metazoa, Chordata, Mammalia, Carnivora, Felidae. The transcript is spliced from 2 exons. The record is from RefSeq and is a predicted model, not a curated record.
GGGGUCCCAAAUGCUGACCUUGACCUCAGUAGGACCCUGCCUGCCAGGACAGCUCGAAAACCUGAGAGCCCCGAACUCAUGCAUCCAGAGCCCAUGGGCACGGCUUCCGGGGAGGCCCCUGUUCGCUCCCUUUGGCUCAGCGAAACCAGGCACGUCAUUUCUCAGAGCCGAAGCCUGAAGAGGGACCCACACCCGCUACACCUGUGGGUCCCCCUUCAUGUCACCUCCGUGGCUUGGCACGAGGGUAGCACGGUGAAGGACCUGUGGCAGGCAGCAGCCUGGCUCCACAGUGCCUCUCCAGAUCGGCAGCAGCAGCUGGAUGGAGCCCUCGGGCCCCCUCCCCAGCUUGGUCUUUGGGACUGACUCCAGGCCCGGUGACCUAGCCUACCCACUUCUUGCUUCGGCUGAAAUGGACUCCAGGACAGCUGACGGCUGGCCACCCUCUGCCGGGUCCGGACCUCUGCCUUCGUGGCGGCUCUGCUCAGGACAGCCCCAGCGCGCAGCAGGCCCGGGGCGGGUGCGGGCUCACACUUCCCCAGCCAGGACUCCAGCAACGUUUCAGGCGGCACAUGCUUUCCUUUCUGGGGAUGGGGCUUUUUCCCCGUCUGUGAUCUAGAAAGUUCCCAUAAUUCAGCUAGUGUGUCUCAUGACGUCUCAUGUGGGCUAAGGGGAGGCACUCUUCUGGUCUCAAAGAGUUAUUAGCUUUUAGAAAACGAUCUUCUCCUUCACUGCUUCACUCCAAAGAGAAGGCUCUUUUCACUCAGUUUCUUGACUUGAACCCUGUUUUGCCCUCUGGCCUCGUAGCCGGCAGGCGGCCGUCACACCAGGGCUCUGCAGGUCUCCCGCGCCGGUGAUGGAUGGUUCUCCUGCAGCUUUGGAGACAUCCUCCACCCCAGACCCAUCAGGCCAGGCGCCGCCGCUGUCCCUGCUCACCAACACGUUGCAUGAAGGGCCCUCACGUCUCUGACGGAGCUGAAAUGAAAAGUAUCUGCAGAGCCCAAGAGUGCCAGGGAGCCGCAGUGGCAGUACCUUGGGGCGGGGUAGAGUCUAGGGAGCAGGAAGGUGUCUAGGGGGUGGGGCGGAGUCUAGGGGGCGGGGCGGAGUCUAGGGAGCUGGAAAAAGUCUAGGGGGCCAGGGCGGAGUCUAAGGAGUGGGGCGGAGUCUAGGGGGCAGG